GAAAGAUGAAAAGAACUUUGAAAAGAGAGUUAAACAGUACGUGAAAUUGUUGAAAGGGAAACGAUUGAAGUCAGUCGUACCAGCGGGAAAUCAACCUUUCGAGUGGGGUUUUGGAGUUUUGAAGUGUGUCAAAACCUUGGGGAUUUCAAAAUUUUCGCUCUUCUGGUGUACUUUCUCGCAGGUAGGUUAACAUCGAUUUUGAUCAUCAUAAAAGGAUCGGAGGAAUGUAGCUUCGAUCUCGUAUUGAAGUGUUAUA
This 256-nucleotide ribosomal RNA is filed under the name uncultured Septoglomus. RNAcentral describes it as "partial large subunit ribosomal RNA". It matches the Rfam family "Eukaryotic large subunit ribosomal RNA", at positions 359 to 565 of the family's 3401-position model. Lineage: Eukaryota; Fungi; Glomeromycota; Glomeromycetes; Glomerales; Glomeraceae. The record is from RNAcentral.